AUUUUUAUAAAAUUAUUUUUAAUUUAUAGGUGUAUAUUUUUAAAAAAAUGAAUUUUUUGUUUAAUUAUUUUCUUUUAAAAAAAUUUUUUUAUAAUAGCGUAAAGUAUUGUGAGAGAUUAAAUUAAAAUGUUAUAAGGAAAAAUUGUUUUGUACCUUGGGUAUCAGGGAUUAUUAAUUAAGAAUUAAAUUUUUAAUUUUCUCGAAUUUUAAAGAGCUGAAUUUUUAUAGAUUUUAUUGUUUAAUAAAUAUUUAAAAUAGAAGUUUGGAGGUGAAAGGUCAUUCGAUUUUUUUUAUCUAGUUUUUGAAGAAAAAAAUUUAAUUUUUUUAUAAAUAAUAUAGGAUUUUUUAAAAUAGAAAAUAUUAAUUAUAUAUUAUAUAUUUAGGGAAGAGCUUAAAUGUAAAAUAUUAUAAUUUUGUAGAGAUAAAAGUUUAGAUUUAGGAUUAGAAAUGUUUAUGAUUAAUAGGAUGUUAUUAUUAAUAGAUUUAAAAAUUUAAUAUUUAUAUAGUUAAUUUAAUUGUUUUAUUUAAAAGUUGAUUAAAAUUAAAAAAUUUAAGUUAAAAUGAUAGUAUUAGUAUAAAGUUAUGAGUAAUUUUAGAUAAAUUUAAGGAAUUAGGCAAUUAUAUUUUUUACCUGUUUAUUAAAAACAUGUUUUUUUGAAAUAUUUUAAGAUUUCCCCUGCCCACUGAAAAUAUUAAAUGGCCGCGGUAUUUUGACCGUGCUAAGGUAGCAUAAUCAUUAGUUUUUUAAUUGAAAGCUGGAAUGAAGGGGGUGAUAAAAAAAUAGCUGUCUCUGAUUUAUUUUUUAAAAUUUUAUUUUUAAGUAAAAAAGCUUAAAUUUUUUUGAAAGACGAUAAGACCCUAUAGAGUUUAACAUAUUAAAUUAAUUAAUUUUAAAGGAUUUAUAAUUUUAUUUUUUUAAAAUUUGUUUAAUUGGGGUGAUUAAAAAAUUAAUAUAACUUUUUUUUGAAAAAACAAUAAUUUUUGAUUUUUAUGAUCCAUAUUAAUGAUUAAAAGAUUAAAUUACCUUAGGGAUAACAGCGUAAUUUUUUUUUAGAGUUCAAAUCGAAAAAAGAGUUUGCGACCUCGAUGUUGGAUUAAAAUUAAUUUUUGAAGCAGAUAUUAAAAAUUUAGGUCUGUUCGACCUUUAAAAUUUUACAUGAUCUGAGUUUAAACCGGUGUGAGCCAGGUUGGUUUCUAUCUUUAAUAAUAGUUAAUAUUCUAGUACGAAAGGAUUGGAUAUUAGAUUAAAAGUUUGUUA
Molecule: ribosomal RNA, 1258 nt
Filed under: Anthribidae sp. 6 ACP-2013
Lineage: Eukaryota; Metazoa; Arthropoda; Insecta; Coleoptera; Anthribidae
Description: 16S ribosomal RNA
Rfam family: Archaeal large subunit ribosomal RNA (bases 1031-1189)
Source: RNAcentral